This 446-nucleotide ribosomal RNA is filed under the name bacterium 94-L049393-122-001-F12. RNAcentral's name for it is "bacterial SSU rRNA". It matches the Rfam family "Bacterial small subunit ribosomal RNA", at positions 57 to 484 of the family's 1533-position model. The record is from RNAcentral.
GCAGUCGAGCGAAUGGAUUAAGAGCUUGCUCUUAUGAAGUUAGCGGCGGACGGGUGAGUAACACGUGGGUAACCUGCCCAUAAGACUGGGAUAACUCCGGGAAACCGGGGCUAAUACCGGAUAACAUUUUGAACUGCAUGGUUCGAAAUUGAAAGGCGGCUUCGGCUGUCACUUAUGGAUGGACCCGCGUCGCAUUAGCUAGUUGGUGAGGUAACGGCUCACCAAGGCAACGAUGCGUAGCCGACCUGAGAGGGUGAUCGGCCACACUGGGACUGAGACACGGCCCAGACUCCUACGGGAGGCAGCAGUAGGGAAUCUUCCGCAAUGGACGAAAGUCUGACGGAGCAACGCCGCGUGAGUGAUGAAGGCUUUCGGGUCGUAAAACUCUGUUGUUACGGAAGAACAAGUGCUAGUUGAAUAAGCUGGCACCUUGACGGUACCUAACC